Molecule: ribosomal RNA, 376 nt
Filed under: uncultured organism
Description: partial 16S ribosomal RNA
Rfam family: Bacterial small subunit ribosomal RNA
Source: RNAcentral
GUAGGUGGCAAGCGUUGUCCGGGAAUUAUUGGGGCGUAAAGCGCGCGCAGGCGGUUCUUUAAGUCUGAUGUGAAAGCCCACGGGCUCAACCGUGGAGGGCCAUUGGAAACUGGAGAACUUGAGUACAGAAGAGGAAAGCGGAAUUCCACGUGUAGCGGUGAAAUGCGUAGAGAUGUGGAGGAACACCAGUGGCGAAGGCGGCUUUCUGGUCUGUAACUGACGCUGAGGCGCGAAAGCGUGGGGAGCAAACAGGAUUAGAUACCCUGGUAGUCCACGCCGUAAACGAUGAGUGCUAAGUGUUAGGGGGUUUCCGCCCCUUAGUGCUGCAGCUAACGCAUUAAGCACUCCGCCUGGGGAGUACGGCCGCAAAGGCUGA